GUCGACGAUGAUGCCCAGCUUGCUGGGCGGAUUAGUGGCGAACGGGUGAGUAAUACGUGAGUAACCUGCCCUUGACUCUGGGAUAAGCCUGGGAAACUGGGUCUAAUACUGGAUACUACCUCCUUCCGCAUGGUGGGUGGUGGAAAGGGUUUUACUGGUUUUGGAUGGGCUCACGGCCUAUCAGCUUGUUGGUGGGGUAAUGGCUCACCAAGGCGACGACGGGUAGCCGGCCUGAGAGGGUGACCGGCCACACUGGGACUGAGACACGGCCCAGACUCCUACGGGAGGCAGCAGUGGGGAAUAUUGCACAAUGGGCGAAAGCCUGAUGCAGCGACGCCGCGUGAGGGAUGACGGCCUUCGGGUUGUAAACCUCUUUCAGUAGGGAAGAAGCGAGAGUGACGGUACCUGCAGAAGAAGCGCCGGCUAACUACGUGCCAGCAGCCGCGGUAAUACGUAGGGCGCAAGCGUUGUCCGGAAUUAUUGGGCGUAAAGAGCUCGUAGGCGGUUUGUCGCGUCUGCUGUGAAAGCCCGGGGCUCAACCCCGGGUCUGCAGUGGGUACGGGCAGACUAGAGUGCAGUAGGGGAGACUGGAAUUCCUGGUGUAGCGGUGAAAUGCGCAGAUAUCAGGAGGAACACCGAUGGCGAAGGCAGGUCUCUGGGCUGUUACUGACGCUGAGGAGCGAAAGCAUGGGGAGCG
This 697-nucleotide ribosomal RNA is filed under the name Kocuria sp. MJS49. RNAcentral's name for it is "bacterial SSU rRNA". It matches the Rfam family "Bacterial small subunit ribosomal RNA", at positions 61 to 770 of the family's 1533-position model. Lineage: Bacteria; Bacillati; Actinomycetota; Actinomycetes; Micrococcales; Micrococcaceae. The record is from RNAcentral.